UACGGAGGGUGCAAGCGUUGCUCGGAAUUAUUGGGCGUAAAGGGUAGGUAGGUGGUCUCAUUUGUCUGAGGUGAAAGCCUUGAGCUUAACUCAAGAAGUGCCUUAGAAACGGUGAGACUAGAGUCUUGGAGAGGGUCGUGGAAUUCCCGGUGUAGCGGUGAAAUGCGUAGAGAUCGGGAGGAACACCAGAGGCGAAGGCGGCGACCUGGACAAGUACUGACACUCAACUACGAAAGCGUGGGGAGCAAACAGG
This 253-nucleotide ribosomal RNA is filed under the name uncultured bacterium. Its description in RNAcentral is "partial 16S ribosomal RNA". It matches the Rfam family "Bacterial small subunit ribosomal RNA", at positions 524 to 776 of the family's 1533-position model. The record is from RNAcentral.